AGUGAACGCUGGCGGUAGGCCUAACACAUGCAAGUCGAACGGCAGCACAGUAAGAGCUUGCUCUUACGGGUGGCGAGUGGCGGACGGGUGAGGAAUACAUCGGCAUCUACUUUUUCGUGGGGGAUAACGUAGGGAAACUUACGCUAAUACCGCAUACGACCUACGGGUGAAAGCAGGGGAUCUUCGGACCUUGCGCGAUUGAAUGAGCCGAUGUCGGAUUAGCUAGUUGGCGGGGUAAAGGCCCACCAAGGCGACGAUCCGUAGCUGGUCUGAGAGGAUGAUCAGCCACACUGGAACUGAGACACGGUCCAGACUCCUACGGGAGGCAGCAGUGGGGAAUAUUGGACAAUGGGCGCAAGCCUGAUCCAGCCAUACCGCGUGGGUGAAGAAGGCCUUCGGGUUGUAGAGCCCUUUUGUUGGGAAAGAAAAGCAGCAGGUUAAUACCCCGCUGUUCUGACGGUACCCAAAGAAUAAGCACCGGCUAACUUCGUG
Molecule: ribosomal RNA, 492 nt
Filed under: uncultured bacterium
Lineage: Bacteria
Description: partial 16S ribosomal RNA
Rfam family: Bacterial small subunit ribosomal RNA
Source: RNAcentral